GGCGAGAUGGCCGAGCGGUCUAAGGCGCUACGUUAAGGAGAUCCUUAAUAACAUCAUUCAUGAGUGAUUCCGUAGUCCGAAAGGGCGUGGGUUCGAAUCCCACUCUCGUCA
This 111-nucleotide transfer RNA is filed under the name Immersiella caudata. RNAcentral's name for it is "Cercophora caudata tRNA". It matches the Rfam family "tRNA". From Rfam's summary of the family: Transfer RNA (tRNA) molecules are approximately 80 nucleotides in length. Their secondary structure includes four short double-helical elements and three loops (D, anti-codon, and T loops). Lineage: Eukaryota; Fungi; Ascomycota; Sordariomycetes; Sordariales; Lasiosphaeriaceae. The record is from Rfam by way of RNAcentral.